AUGUUGCCAGCACUCAGGGCCUUGUUGCCCUUCUCUUUGAGCUCAUUUACCUGCUCCAUAGCCCGGUCCGGAACCCCGUUGAAUAGACUCCGUCGGCUCCGCGUUCCCAACCGCACGCGCCGCCUUCUGGAACCUACUAGAAGCUGCCGGGACCCCCAGAUCCCGCCUCUUCCUCGCCGGCUCGCUGGUCGCUUUCCUCUAGGGGGCUUUCUAAGGUUUCCUACCAUUGGCUCGAAGUCUAGCCCAUCAUCUUUGCUUCUCUCUCAUUGGACAGUGGGGAGAGUCCUGCCUCCCCCGCGUUUCGAGACUGGACGUUGCUCUGAAAGCCCCACCCAUCAUAUACUCUAUGAUUGGAGGGAGGGGCGGACCUCUGCGGCACCGAUUGGUCAUUUAUCCCGCCAAUCAUGGCCGCGCUGGCCGCGCCCAUUGGUUCUGUUCUUUCUGGAAAUUUCCACCUCUCCCAUUGGGCUGACAGACUCGGUGACAGAACCGCCUUCAGAUUUAAAAAAAUUUCAAUUGGUCGGUGGUUGCAGACACUUUGCUCUGAUCAGAUCUGUUCCCAGUUCCAGACUUGUCUACCCAGCUGCCUCCUCGACGUCUCUGCUUGGAUGGCAAAUGGACUUCGCAAUGUGUUCAAAUCAGCUCCCAAUAUGCUCCCCUGAAGCUGUUCUUCCCUUGACUUCCCUCUUGUCUGUGGCCUUGCUAUUCUUGGGCUGGUUCACGCUGAAAACGUUGGAGGCGUCCUUGACUCCCGUCUUUUACAGCCACGUCCAUUUCAGCAAAGUUCGUCAGGGUUCGACAGGGACCUUUCUGCAAGUUCCCAUCCGUCUCCUGGCUUUGGGAAAGGGAAGGGCAUGUUGGCUUCCUGAGCAGGAUUGCCUGGUUGGGUCUCCUUGCCGUCCAAGGGACUCUGAAGAGUCUUCUCCAGCACCACAGUUCAAAAGCAUCACUUCUUCGGCACUCAGCCUUCUUGAUGGUGCGGUCCUAUUUGUCACGGCAAAGGGAGCAGCACCUGACCCCCGUAUACCCGCGGAGGAUACCGGGAACCACGGUGUUGCCGCCUUAGGAUGGAGUAUUAGUAGUCUUCAAAAGAACAAGCUGGUGGAUACUGACACAAGAACAUGCCCAUGAUGUACCGUGGAACAACGGAAGUUAGUAAUGGAGCGGUGUGUAUGAGAAAAAAGAAGGUGUGUAUCUUCAUAUACAUGGGAUAUGCACAGGAAAAGUCUAGAUGGAUACACAGCUAACUGCUCAAGUUUUGCUCCUGUGGAUGGGGAAUGGGGAGGGGUGCUAGAUUCGUUUGGUAGGGCUACCAUAACUAAAUACCGAAGAUUUGGUGGCUUGAACCACAGAAAUUUUCUCAGUUCUGGAAGUCCAAGACCAAGGUGCUGGUAGACCUGGUUUCUUCUGAGGUCCCUCCCCUUGACCUGCAGACAACCGGCUUCUCACUGUUUUCCUCAUGUGGUCUUUUCCUCUGUGCAAGCAUGCACUCGGGUGUAUGUCCACCUUUCCUUUCUUUUUGGCUGCACCACGUGGCUUGUGGGAUCUCAGUUCCCCAACCAGGGGUUGAACCUGGGCCAAGGCAGUGAAAGCCCAGAAUCCUAACCACUAGGCUACCGGGGAACUCCCCAACUUUCCUCUGCUGAUAAGGAUACCAAUCAGAUUAGACCAGGGCCCACCCUGAGGGUCUCAUUUUAAUUUCACCACCCCUUUAAAAACUGUCUCCAAAUACUGUCUCAUUGUGAGAUAUUGAGCGUUGGGAAUUUAAAAUGUGAAUUUGGAGAGGGGACAUAAUUCAGCCCAUAACAGGGGUUUUCAAUUUUUAUUAUGGUGUUAAAAUUUGUUACAAUGAAUACUACUAUUGAAGGGUUUUGUAUAUUUCAAGACAAAUGUCCCCAGAGCACCAACCCCCUUCCAGGCCUUCUCUGAAGUUAGAGGGGGGCAGCCAGUGCCCUCCCCCAGCCAGCUCCAGGACUCCAGCUCCAGGGCUCUCUGAGGCCCGUCCCUGAGGAAGACAGGGUGAGCCCCUCUGGAUCACUGGCCAG
RNAcentral lists this long non-coding RNA (2045 nucleotides) under Ovis aries (sheep). RNAcentral's name for it is "lncRNA (ENSOARG00000026113.1)". Lineage: Eukaryota; Metazoa; Chordata; Mammalia; Artiodactyla; Bovidae. The record is from RNAcentral.